AAACUCGUGCUCUCGUUCUAGUGGAACCACCUAAUAUUCCAUCCCGAACUUAGAAGUGAAACGCUAGAAGGGUGAAAAUACUUGAGGGGAGGCCCUCCGGGAAGAUAACCUAGUGCGAGUUU
RNAcentral lists this ribosomal RNA (122 nucleotides) under Parachlorella kessleri. Lineage: Eukaryota; Viridiplantae; Chlorophyta; Trebouxiophyceae; Chlorellales; Chlorellaceae. The record is from RNAcentral.